AAUCUGAGGGAGCUUGCUCCCAAAGAUUAGCGGCGGACGGGUGAGUAACACGUGGGCAACCUGCCUGUAAGACUGGGAUAACUUCGGGAAGCCGGAGCUAAUACCGGAUAAUCCCUUUCCUCACAUGAGGAAAGGCUGAAAGACGGCGUCUAGCUGUCACUUACAGAUGGGCCCGCGGCGCAUUAGCUAGUUGGUGAGGUAACGGCUCACCAAGGCCACGAUGCGUAGCCGACCUGAGAGGGUGAUCGGCCACACUGGGACUGAGACACGGCCCAGACUCCUACGGGAGGCAGCAGUAGGGAAUCUUCCGCAAUGGACGAAAGUCUGACGGAGCAACGCCGCGUGAGCGAUGAAGGUUUUCGGAUCGUAAAACUCUGUUGUUAGGGAAGAACAAGUAUCGGAGUAACUGCCGGUACCUUGACGGUACCUAACCAGAAAGCCACGGCUAACUACGUGCCAGCAGCCGCGGUAAUACGUAGGUGGCAAGCGUUGUCCGGAAUUAUUGGGCGUAAAGCGCGCGCAGGUGGUUCCUUAAGUCUGAUGUGAAAGCCCACGGCUCAACCGUGGAGGGUCAUUGGAAACUGGGGAACUUGAGUGCAGAAGAGGAAAGUGGAAUUCCAAGUGUAGCGGUGAAAUGCGUAGAGAUUUGGAGGAACACCAGUGGCGAAGGCGACUU
This 676-nucleotide ribosomal RNA is filed under the name uncultured Bacilli bacterium. Its description in RNAcentral is "bacterial SSU rRNA". It matches the Rfam family "Bacterial small subunit ribosomal RNA", at positions 68 to 727 of the family's 1533-position model. The record is from RNAcentral. Lineage: Bacteria; Bacillati; Bacillota; Bacilli.